AAGUCGUAACAAGGUUUCCGUAGGUGAACCUGCGGAAGGAUCAUUAACACGAAACUCCACGUUUCAUACCAACCUGUGGUCUUGUAACUUUCUAUUUUUUGGGUGGGGAACGAAAAAGGCACUCCGUGUCCUAUUUGUUUUCUGCCUGAGAAAUUUUAUAUCUUACAAAAAACCCCUUGUAUCAUCUAUUGACUGAACCAAUGGAAGCUUUGAGUACCCUUUACGGGGCGCUCGCUUCUUGAUAUUACGAAACUCUGAACAACUCUAAGCAACGGAUAUCUUGGUUCUC
RNAcentral lists this unclassified non-coding RNA (289 nucleotides) under fungal sp. RNAcentral describes it as "partial internal transcribed spacer region". The stretch from base 1 to 46 matches the Rfam family "Eukaryotic small subunit ribosomal RNA", at positions 1786 to 1831 of the family's 1831-position model. Lineage: Eukaryota; Fungi. The record is from RNAcentral.